GUGGGGAAUAUUGGACAAUGGGCGAAAGCCUGAUCCAGCCAUGCCGCGUGUGUGAAGAAGGUCUUCGGAUUGUAAAGCACUUUAAGUUGGGAGGAAGGGCAGUAACCUAAUACGUUAUUGUUUUGACGUUACCGACAGAAUAAGCACCGGCUAACUUCGUGCCAGCAGCCGCGGUAAUACGAAGGGUGCAAGCGUUAAUCGGAAUUACUGGGCGUAAAGCGCGCGUAGGUGGUUCAGUAAGUUGGAAGUGAAAUCCCCGGGCUCAACCUGGGAACUGCUUUCAAAACUGCGGAGCUAGAGUACGGUAGAGGGUGGUGGAAUUUCCUGUGUAGCGGUGAAAUGCGUAGAUAUAGGAAGGAACACCAGUGGCGAAGGCGACCACCUGGACUGAUACUGACACUGAGGUGCGAAAGCGUGGGGAGCAAACAGGAUUAGAAACCCCGGUAGUCC
RNAcentral lists this ribosomal RNA (450 nucleotides) under uncultured bacterium. RNAcentral describes it as "partial 16S ribosomal RNA". It matches the Rfam family "Bacterial small subunit ribosomal RNA", at positions 354 to 796 of the family's 1533-position model. The record is from RNAcentral.